This 467-nucleotide ribosomal RNA is filed under the name uncultured bacterium. RNAcentral's name for it is "partial 16S ribosomal RNA". It matches the Rfam family "Bacterial small subunit ribosomal RNA", at positions 28 to 507 of the family's 1533-position model. The record is from RNAcentral.
GACGAACGCUGGCGGCGUGCUUAACACAUGCAAGUCGAACGGAAAGGCCCUGCUUUUGUGGGGUGCUCGAGUGGCGAACGGGUGAGUAACACGUGAGUAACCUGCCCUUGACUUUGGGAUAACUUCAGGAAACUGGGGCUAAUACCGGAUAGGAGCUCCUGCUGCAUGGUGGGGGUUGGAAAGUUUCGGCGGUUGGGGAUGGACUCGCGGCUUAUCAGCUUGUUGGUGGGGUAGUGGCUUACCAAGGCUUUGACGGGUAGCCGGCCUGAGAGGGUACCGGCCACAUUGGGACUGAGAUACGGCCCAGACUCCUGCGGGAGGCAGCAGUGGGGAAUAUUGCACAAUGGGCGGAAGCCUGAUGCAGCAACGCCGCGUGCGGGAUGACGGCCUUCGGGUUGUAAACCGCUUUCGCCUGUGACGAAGCGUGAGUGACGGUAAUGGGUAAAGAAGCACCGGCUAACUACGUG